AAAUAAGAAAACGGAUCCUCUGCUUUUGUAACGCACAGACACGCUUCCUCUUCCUUUUUUUCCGUUGUAAAUUGAUAGCAACGAUGGGGUUUUGAAAAUCUAUUUGUGCCUUCUACAAUAAACCUUCGCAUUACAAUUGGAACACAGAAGAUUCACCUCUCUCGAUCUCAAACCAUCACAGAGCCCUAAACUCGAAUGGGUUGGAACUGAGAAGCAGUGCUAGAGAUUCAUCUUCUGAUGUUAUUCCCUCCUGUGCUACCCGAAUGAUAUCUCGCUCGCUGCAAACAUCUAUGUAUGAAUUUCUUUGUUGCAGCAUUUUGGUUCUAUUCUAGGAUACGUAUUUCUUUGAAGGGAUGGAUGGUUUUUACACAGGUUGGUUCAAUUGCUGGUGGUGGCCAAUAGGAUACCAUGAUAGGGAUGUUUGGCUCAAACCAAGUUCCAACAGUUGGUAUAAGCCUAAGAAUGAAGAGAGUAUUUUCCAUAAUUGAGCAGCACUGGAAGGACCAGAACCAGAACACUGGGAUUUCUAACUCCUUUCAUUGGUGAGACAAGCGAAAGGCAUGCAGAAGUCGAAGAACAAAUAGGCACCAAAGUGGCAGAGUGGAGAGAAGAAGGAAAACUGAGAUUGUGUCAGGAGUUCUUUUCAUUGAUGAUGUGAUCAUACCUGACAUAAUGUUUUUCUUUUCUCAAUCGAGCUCUAGAGAAUGUGAUGGGUCUAUUAGUUGUUGUUGGGGUAUGAAAGUAUUUUAGGAGUGAAUGUAUGAUUGUGUAAAGAGAUUUUUAUAAUAGUCUUAGAAGCCAUACUUUGAGAUAUUUUUAUACUUGGGGCAUGACAUUAAUAGAGUAAAGUUUUCAGCCA
Lotus japonicus is the source of this 859-nucleotide long non-coding RNA. RefSeq lists it as uncharacterized. The record is from RefSeq and is a predicted model, not a curated record. The transcript has 4 exons. NCBI's taxonomy places the organism in Eukaryota, Viridiplantae, Streptophyta, Magnoliopsida, Fabales, Fabaceae.